Molecule: ribosomal RNA, 468 nt
Filed under: uncultured bacterium
Lineage: Bacteria
Description: partial 16S ribosomal RNA
Rfam family: Bacterial small subunit ribosomal RNA
Source: RNAcentral
GACGAACGCUGGCGGCGUGCUUAACACAUGCAAGUCGAACGGAAAGGCCCUGCUUUUGUGGGGUGCUCGAGUGGCGAACGGGUGAGUAACACGUGAGUACCCUGCCCUUGACUUUGGGAUAACUUCAGGAAACUGGGGCUAAUACCGGUUAGGAGCUCCUGCUGCAUGGUGGGGGUUGGAAAGCUGCGGCGGUUGGGGAUGGAUACGCGGCUUAUCAGCUUGUUGGUGGGGUAGUGGCUUACCAAGGCUUUGACGGGUAGCCGGCAUGAGAGGGUGACCGGGGACAUUGGGACUGAGGUACGGCCCAGUCUGCUAUGGGGGUCAGCAGUGGGGAAUAUUGCACAAUAGGCGGGAGCCUGUGGCGGCAACGCCGCGUGCGGGAGGACGGCCUUCGGGUUGUAAACCGCUUUCGCCUGUGACGAAGCGUGAGUGACGGUAAUGGGUAAAGAAGCACCGGCUAACUACGUG